UACGAAGGGGGCUAGCGUUGUUCGGAAUUACUGGGCGUAAAGCGCGCGCAGGUGGUCUUUCAAGUCAGUGGUGAAAGCCCGGAGCUCAACUCCGGAAAUGCCGUUGAAACUGUAAGACUUGAGGAUGAGAGAGGUGAGUGGAAUUCCCAGUGUAGAGGUGAAAUUCGUAGAUAUUGGGAAGAACACCGGUGGCGAAGGCGGCUCACUGGCUCAUAUCUGACGCUCAGGCGCGACAGCGUGGGGAUCAAACAGG
Molecule: ribosomal RNA, 253 nt
Filed under: uncultured bacterium
Lineage: Bacteria
Description: partial 16S ribosomal RNA
Rfam family: Bacterial small subunit ribosomal RNA
Source: RNAcentral